This 1113-nucleotide ribosomal RNA is filed under the name Salmonella enterica subsp. enterica serovar Stanley. Its description in RNAcentral is "partial 23S ribosomal RNA". It matches the Rfam family "Bacterial large subunit ribosomal RNA", at positions 711 to 1805 of the family's 2925-position model. Lineage: Bacteria; Pseudomonadati; Pseudomonadota; Gammaproteobacteria; Enterobacterales; Enterobacteriaceae. The record is from RNAcentral.
AGACCCGAAACCCGGUGAUCUAGCCAUGGGCAGGUUGAAGGUUGGGUAACACUAACUGGAGGACCGAACCGACUAAUGUUGAAAAAUUAGCGGAUGACCUGUGGCUGGGGGUGAAAGGCCAAUCAAACCGGGAGAUAGCUGGUUCUCCCCGAAAGCUAUUUAGGUAGCGCCUCGUGAAUUCAUCUCCGGGGGUAGAGCACUGUUUCGGCUAGGGGGCCAUCCCGGCUUACCAACCCGAUGCAAACUGCGAAUACCGGAGAAUGUUAUCACGGGAGACACACGGCGGGUGCUAACGUCCGUCGUGAAGAGGGAAACAACCCAGACCGCCAGCUAAGGUCCCAAAGUCAUGGUUAAGUGGGAAACGAUGUGGGAAGGCCCAGACAGCCAGGAUGUUGGCUUAGAAGCAGCCAUCAUUUAAAGAAAGCGUAAUAGCUCACUGGUCGAGUCGGCCUGCGCGGAAGAUGUAACGGGGCUAAACCAUGCACCGAAGCUGCGGCAGCGACACUGUGUGUUGUUGGGUAGGGGAGCGUUCUGUAAGCCUGUGAAGGUGUGUCGUGAGGCAUGCUGGAGGUAUCAGAAGUGCGAAUGCUGACAUAAGUAACGAUAAAGCGGGUGAAAAGCCCGCUCGCCGGAAGACCAAGGGUUCCUGUCCAACGUUAAUCGGGGCAGGGUGAGUCGACCCCUAAGGCGAGGCCGAAAGGCGUAGUCGAUGGGAAACGGGUUAAUAUUCCCGUACUUGGUGUUACUGCGAAGGGGGGACGGAGAAGGCUAUGUUGGCCGGGCGACGGUUGUCCCGGUUUAAGCGUGUAGGUGUGUGUUCCAGGUAAAUCCGGUUCACUUUAACACUGAGGCGUGACGACGAGGCACUACGGUGCUGAAGCAACAAAUGCCCUGCUUCCAGGAAAAGCCUCUAAGCAUCAGGUAACAUCAAAUCGUACCCCAAACCGACACAGGUGGUCAGGUAGAGAAUACCAAGGCGCUUGAGAGAACUCGGGUGAAGGAACUAGGCAAAAUGGUGCCGUAACUUCGGGAGAAGGCACGCUGACACGUAGGUGAAGUGAUUUACUCAUGGAGCUGAAGUCAGUCGAAGAUACCAGCUGGCUGCAACUGUUU